Molecule: ribosomal RNA, 253 nt
Filed under: uncultured prokaryote
Description: partial 16S ribosomal RNA
Rfam family: Bacterial small subunit ribosomal RNA
Source: RNAcentral
ACAGAGGGUGCGAGCGUUGUCCGGAAUUACUGGGCGUAAAGGGCGCGCAGGCGGCUCUGAAAGUCAGAUGUGAAAGCCCCGGGCUUAACCUGGGAAUUGCAUUUGAUACUCUGGAGCUUGAGUACGGGAGAGGAGAGUGGAAUUCCCAGUGUAGAGGUGAAAUUCGUAGAUAUUGGGAAGAACACCGGUGGCGAAGGCGGCUCACUGGCUCGUUUCUGACGCUCAGGCGCGAUAGCGUGGGGAUCAAACAGGA